Molecule: ribosomal RNA, 353 nt
Filed under: uncultured bacterium
Lineage: Bacteria
Description: bacterial SSU rRNA
Rfam family: Bacterial small subunit ribosomal RNA
Source: RNAcentral
AAUGAACGCUGGCGGCGCGCCUAAUACAAUGCAAGUCGAGCGAGAAGACGUAGCAAUACGUUUGUAAAGCGGCGAACGGGUGAGGAAUACAUGGGUAACCUACCCUCGAGUGGGGAAUAACUAGCCGAAAGGUUAGCUAAUACCGCGUACGCUCCUUGGACUUCGGUUCAGGGAGGAAAGCGAUACCGUGGGUAUCGCGCUCUUGGUUGGGCUCAUGUCCUAUCAGCUUGUUGGUGAGGAACGGCUCACCAAGGCUUCGACGGGUAGCUGGUCUGAGAGGACGAUCAGCCACACUGGCACUGCGACACGGGCCAGGACUCCGUACGGGAGCAGCAGUAAGGAAUAUUGCGCAA